This 254-nucleotide ribosomal RNA is filed under the name uncultured bacterium. RNAcentral describes it as "partial 16S ribosomal RNA". It matches the Rfam family "Bacterial small subunit ribosomal RNA", at positions 524 to 776 of the family's 1533-position model. The record is from RNAcentral.
UACGGGGGGAGCAAGCGUUGUUCGGAUUUACUGGGCGUAAAGGGCGCGUAGGCGGCCACCGCAAGUCGGUUGUGAAAGCCCUCAGCUCAACUGAGGAAGUGCGCCCGAAACUGCAUAGCUUGAGUACCGGAGAGGAUGGUGGAAUUCCCGAAGUAGAGGUGAAAUUCGUAGAUAUCGGGAGGAACACCGGUGGCGAAGGCGACCAUCUGGACGGAUACUGACGCUGAGGCGCGAAAGCCAGGGGAGCAAACGGG